RNAcentral lists this ribosomal RNA (292 nucleotides) under uncultured bacterium. Its description in RNAcentral is "partial 16S ribosomal RNA". It matches the Rfam family "Bacterial small subunit ribosomal RNA", at positions 505 to 796 of the family's 1533-position model. The record is from RNAcentral.
GUGCCAGCAGCCGCGGUAAUACGGGGGGGGCUAGCGUUGUUCGGAAUUACUGGGCGUAAAGGGCGCGUAGGCGGUCUAUUAAGUUGGAUGUGAAAACUCUGGGCUUAACCCAGAGCCUGCAUUCAAAACUGAUAGGCUGGAGUUCUGGAGGGGAUAGCGGAAUUCCUGGUGUAGCGGUGAAAUGCGUAGAUAUCAGGAGGAACACCGGUGGCGAAGGCGGCUAUCUGGACAGAAACUGACGCUGAGGCGCGAAAGCUAGGGGAGCAAACAGGAUUAGAUACCCUGGUAGUCC